RNAcentral lists this ribosomal RNA (477 nucleotides) under uncultured bacterium. RNAcentral's name for it is "bacterial SSU rRNA". It matches the Rfam family "Bacterial small subunit ribosomal RNA", at positions 8 to 526 of the family's 1533-position model. The record is from RNAcentral.
AGGGUUUGAUCAUGGCUCAGGAUGAACGCUGGCGGUAUGCCUUAUACAUGCAAGUCGUACGAGAGUUUUUAACUCAAGUGGCGGACGGGUGAGUAACACGUAAGAAUUUACCUUUAGGAGGGGGACAACAAUCGGAAACGGCUGCUAAUACCCCAUAUGCUUUCGAGUGAAAUGGAUUUUCCGCCUAGAGAGAAGCUUGCGGCUGAUUAGCUUGUUGGUAGAGUAAUAGCCUACCAAGGCGACGAUCAGUAUCUGGUUUGAGAGGACGAUCAGACACACUGGAACUGAGACACGGUCCAGACUCUUACGGGAGGCAGCAGUAGGGAAUUUUCCGCAAUGGGCGAAAGCCUGACGGAGCAAUACCGCGUGAGGGAUGACUGCCUAUGGGUUGUAAACCUCUUUUUUCAGGGAGGAAUUAAUGACGUGUACCUGAAGAAUAAGCAUCGGCUAACUCCGUGCCAGCCGCCGCGGUAAUAC